This 301-nucleotide ribosomal RNA is filed under the name uncultured bacterium. RNAcentral's name for it is "partial 16S ribosomal RNA". It matches the Rfam family "Bacterial small subunit ribosomal RNA", at positions 509 to 807 of the family's 1533-position model. The record is from RNAcentral.
CAGUCGCCACGGGAAUACGAGGGGGGCAAGCGUUGUUCGGAAUUAUUGGGCGUAAAGGGUGCGUAGGCGGUCUGAUAAGUCUUAUGUGAAAUCUCUGGGCUCAACCCAGAGUCUGCAUGGGAAACUGUCAGGCUUGAGAAUGGGAGAGGUGAGUGGAAUUUCCGGUGUAGCGGUGAAAUGCGUAGAUAUCGGAAGGAACACCUGUGGCGAAAGCGGCUCACUGGACCAUUUCUGACGCUGAUGCACGAAAGCUAGGGGAGCAAACAGGAUUAGAUACCCCAGUAGUCCCUGUCUCUUAUAC